AGCAGCCGCGGUAAUUCCAGCUCCAAUAGCGUAUAUUAAAGUUGUUGCAGUUAAAAAGCUCGUAGUUGAAUUUCGGGGUUCUACCGUUGGUCGGGCUAUUGUCUGUACUGGCGUGUAGAAUUUCUACCUUCUGGGGAACUAUCAUGUUAUUAAUUUAGCGUGGUAGGAAACCAGAACCUUUACCUUGAAAAAAUUAGAGUGUUCAAAGCAGGCUUAUGUCUGAAUACAUUAGCAUGGAAUAAUAAAAUAGGACGGUGGUCCUGUUUUGUUGGUUUCUGAAUCACCGUAAUGAUUAAUAGGGAUAGUUGGGGGCAUUAGUAUUCAAUUGUCAGAGGUGAAAUUCUUGGAUUUAUUGAAGACUAACUACUGCGAAAGCAUUUGCCAAGGAUGUUUUCAUUAAUCAAGAACGAAAGUUAGGGGAUCGAAGACGAUCAGAUACCGUCGUAGUCUUAACCAUAAACUAUGCCGACUAGGGAUCGGACGAUGUUAACUUUUCUUGACUCGUUCGGCGUCCUUACGG
This 520-nucleotide ribosomal RNA is filed under the name uncultured Scutellospora. Its description in RNAcentral is "SSU rRNA". It matches the Rfam family "Eukaryotic small subunit ribosomal RNA", at positions 569 to 1093 of the family's 1831-position model. Lineage: Eukaryota; Fungi; Glomeromycota; Glomeromycetes; Diversisporales; Gigasporaceae. The record is from RNAcentral.